CCCCCAACCCCCCACCAGCCCCACGCGGACUCCCUUUGUUCCAGAGCCGCCCGCCUGGGUCUCGGGAGCCGCUGACUCAGCGGAGUGGAGCCAGCCUUCCGCGCUCCCGCCCCCACCCCGCUUUCUCUGGAGACCUGGGAGCCGGCGCCUGGGGAGGUGGGAGGUGCGAGCGCGCCAGCCCAGCCCUUCUUUUGUUCCCUAGGACAUUCCUUUGCUCCAGUCCUCCCGAUCUGGAGCGUCUUCUGCGGUUACUGUUUCAGGUUAUGUUUCAGGGAAACUGACACCGAGGAAGCAGCCCUGACACCACGUCCUGGUUGUUGGUCUUCAGGAAGCCCUUCGACGACCCCCUCCCUGAAUCUCAGUUUCCUCACUUGUAAAGUGGGAGCCAAAAUGCUGCAGUGGAAGGGUCACUAUGAGAUUAAGUGCGAAAACACCAAUAUAAAGCGGCAGGAGUUUUCGUUUACAUUCGAUGAAAUGCACAGACAGAACUUACACGUGCAGUUCCACGAGUUCCCAGAAAUGAAAACACCCCUGUAACCCACAUCUCUAUCAAGACAGAACAUCUCCAGCCCCAGAGAAAGUUCUAAGAGUUCCUACCCAAGGAAUCCCACACACCCCACCCCAGGCAACCACUGGACUCCCUUCUCUGACAACAGGAUGAUGGCCUCCAACAGUCCAAGACUUUGCUUACAAUUUUAGGAAGAAAGAUAAUUUUCUCCAAAAGCUCUGGGGGAAAAAAUAUCUCAGGCGGACUCUAUUUGACUCAGUCAGAGAAAGUAUCUGUUCUUUCUCUGAUCCAGUCACUGAGAUUAGGCAAAUAGGAUACCCUGUUGGGCAGGACAUGGUCAUGCCCACCCCUGUCACCAAGAACAGUUAGGCUAGAAUUAGUAUUGGUCAAACCACAAAGAACAGCUCCUUAUAAAAAAUAAAAAUGAAAAUAAGGGAGGAUUUUCUCCCCCAAAAGAAUAAGGAAGGAGUUCUGGGCAGACCAGUACAACCAGUCUACUUUAGAAAACUCUGACCAUUCUAUCGUUAUUUUAUGUUGUUCAACCGGAGAAUUGGCGCCUCCAGCUGAAAAGAGGCCAGAUUUUGGAGGCAGACAGGUCUGAGUUCAAGCCCAAGGUCUGACACUGAGCUCUUUGAACCUCCGUUGUUAGCUCGCAGCACUGUAAUGUAGUGAUUCAUUCUUGAAAUUCUGGGUAGCAACCUUGAAAGGAUUAAAAGACGUAAUCACAGUGCAA
Long non-coding RNA from Felis catus (domestic cat), 1241 nucleotides. RefSeq lists it as uncharacterized. The record is from RefSeq and is a predicted model, not a curated record. NCBI's taxonomy places the organism in Eukaryota, Metazoa, Chordata, Mammalia, Carnivora, Felidae. The transcript is spliced from 3 exons.